This 399-nucleotide ribosomal RNA is filed under the name uncultured bacterium. RNAcentral's name for it is "bacterial SSU rRNA". It matches the Rfam family "Bacterial small subunit ribosomal RNA", at positions 29 to 417 of the family's 1533-position model. The record is from RNAcentral.
AAUCAACGCUGGCGGCGUGCCUAACACAUGCAAGUCGAACGCGAAAGGGGCUUCGGUCCUGAGUAGAGUGGCGUCCGGGUGAGUAACGCGUGGGUAAUCUACCCUUGGGUGGGGAAUAACCAGUCGAAAGAUUGGCUAAUACCGCAUACGAUCCACGGAUGAAAGCGGGGACCCGAACGGCGAACCGAGGGCCGUCGCACUAUUGGAGCGGCCGAUGUCGGAUUAGCUAGUUGGCGGGGUAAAGGCCCACCAAGGCGACGAUCCGUAGCUGGUCUGAGAGGACGACCAGCCACACUGGAACUGAGACACGGUCCAGACUCCUACGGGAGGCAGCAGUGGGGAAUCUUGCGCAAUGGGCGAAAGCCUGACGCAGCGACGCCGCGUGAGGGAUGACGGCCU